RNAcentral lists this ribosomal RNA (253 nucleotides) under uncultured bacterium. RNAcentral describes it as "partial 16S ribosomal RNA". It matches the Rfam family "Bacterial small subunit ribosomal RNA", at positions 524 to 776 of the family's 1533-position model. The record is from RNAcentral.
UACGUAGGGUGCGAGCGUUAAUCGGAAUUACUGGGCGUAAAGCGUGCGCAGGCGGUAAGUUAAGUCUGACGUGAAAGCCCCGGGCUCAACCUGGGAAUGGCGAUGGAUACUGGCUCGCUAGAGUGCGGUAGAGGAGAGUGGAAUUCCCGGUGUAGCAGUGAAAUGCGUAGAGAUCGGGAGGAACAUCAGUUGCGAAGGCGGCUCUCUGGACCAGCACUGACACUGAGGCACGAAAGCGUGGGGAGCAAACGGG